This 521-nucleotide ribosomal RNA is filed under the name Dothideomycetes sp. A567. Its description in RNAcentral is "SSU rRNA". It matches the Rfam family "Bacterial small subunit ribosomal RNA", at positions 517 to 1113 of the family's 1533-position model. Lineage: Eukaryota; Fungi; Ascomycota; Dothideomycetes. The record is from RNAcentral.
GCGGUAAUACGUAAAAGACUAGUGUUAUUCAUCUUUAAUAGGUUUAAAGGGUACCUAGACGGAAAAUCAAGCCUUAGCGGGGACUAGUUUUCUAGAGUUUAAUAGGAGAAAGUCGAAUUACUGGAGAAGAGUCAAAAUAUCAUUAUACUAGUAGGACGGACAACGGCGAAGGCUACUUUCUAUGUAAAAACUGACGUUGAGGGACGAAGCCUUGGGUAGCAAUAAGGAUUUGAUACCCUAGUAGUCCUUGGAGACAAUUAUGAGUGUCAUAUGUUAAAAUAAUUAACCUAUAAAUGAAAGUGUAAGCACUCCACCUCAUGAGUAAAGCGGCAACGCCGAAAUUGAAAUCAUUAGACCGUAUCUGAAACCAGUAGUGAAGUAUGUUAUUUAAUUCGAUAAUCCGCGAAUAACCUUACCACGCCUUGUAUAAUAUUUAUUUAUUACAAGCGCUGCACGGCUGUCUUCAGUUAAUGUCGUGAGAUCCUGGUUAGUUCCUUCAAUUAACGAAAACCCUUGUUUUA